This is a long non-coding RNA of Apis cerana (Asiatic honeybee), 1972 nucleotides long. RefSeq lists it as uncharacterized. Lineage: Eukaryota; Metazoa; Arthropoda; Insecta; Hymenoptera; Apidae. The record is from RefSeq and is a predicted model, not a curated record.
UAUUACCGUCACUACAUACUCGUGCGCGGAGUGAUGGCGGGUGACUGCGUGCUUCGAUAGCGCUAAGCCUCGGGGCAGUAAAAUACAUUGGUCCGGUGGCUGUGAUCCGGCCGUAUCAAUGCUGCCGCUUGCCCGUUAUGCACGCGGACUCGCCACCGUCACACUCCCUCCCCUCGCCCCCCACCACUUAUGCGAGGAUCCACCACGAGAGGGACCCAUCACGACCCAUCACGGCGCGCUGCGAAACCUUUCCGUUGACAACCGCUCUUAAUCUUGGUCGACCGCCUAACUCGUCACCCACUCAGUUUUUCUCCUUGCAAGCGUCGUUGCUGCUGCCCUCUGCCCCCUUUCGCUUCAACACUCGUGCAUAGAAGGUGUAUAAAAGGUGUAGACUCGCUGUUGAAAAAGUGACCGGUUAAAAAUUUCCAAUAAAGUUUACCAUUCGUAUACGGUUGCUACGAUUGUUACCACGCUUCGAAAUAAUAUAUUAUUAUACGAAAACAGGACUGCUCUAAAGAAGGUUUAACACAUUUCGUACGAUUGGUUACGAACGUGAACAAGUGGCAAGCAUGUCGUCCAGCCAACCUGUCCACGGAUGAUGAAACGAUAAACGGCGAACGACGGAUGACAAACGAGAAAGAACGAAGGACGAAGGACGGUGAUGGGUUACGAACGAAUCGCAGCGUGCCCGAUUGUCUCACCGCGGUAACGGUGACUACAGAUUAAACUGUGGAUUUUGCGAACCGCAAUGCUUGUUGCGAAAUUAAUCCACGCAGUUCGUUAUUACGACAGUUACAUCGGUGGUACGUGUAAUCUGACCGUGCUUUUGUUGCUGAGCACAUCGAAACCACCGAACAAUUCUUCUUUGUUAAUGGCGUCUGUUUACGAUAUAAAACUGUUUGUCCGCGAUAAUGGCCGUCGCAAUGCGCACCAAUAAUUAUUUCGAAUUACGAAAUCGCGAAAUGGGCUUUUACACGGAGUUACGAACUGCAAUCAUUCUCGCGCGUAUAAACGUCGAUCGAACCGCAUUGCGAUUGUUUCGCGAGAGAGCGAAUGCGAUUCGUCGCGUUCUAGCCAACCGCUAUCGGGGGGAGGGGGGGAAAAAAAAGAAAAAAAUCAUAUCACAGCGAUAUAUCUUACCGCACGAUUCUUUAUACAUCCUUCCAGAUCGAAAAGGAUAGGUUAUACAGACUUGAACGGAUAACUUUCUUAUCCGUCGUAUUGAUUCAAUUUUCUUUUUCAUAUAUAUUUAAAUUAUGCCAAGUGUACACCGUCAUUUAUAUAGGUUAGGUUGAGUUAACAUAUCAAUUACUUUUUCUUACACACACACACACACGUUUAAAAUUAUGUGUAUAUCCAAUAUGUGUUAUACGGCACGCUGUCAUUCGUAGAUAUAGGUUAAGUUAAGUUAAGUUAGGUUAGGUUAUAUACACGUGUUAAUUACACGUAUGCUAUCAUCAUUUAUAUGAGUUAGGUUAGGUUAGUCUAUCAAUAUUUCUUAUAUACACGUUUGAAUUACGCAUAUUUCUAAAUACACGAUCAUUUGUAGAUAUAGGUUAAAUUAAUUAUCGUACGAUGAUCGCCUGUCGUACGAAUUCGAUCGCUUUUUCUUGUAUCCAAAUAUGCAUCCGAAUUACAUUAUCAGUUGUCAACGUUGUGUCAACGAUGGUCGUUCAUCAGCAUAUAUACAAUGUUAAAUAUAUAAUGUGAAAUUUCUAUAUUCAAUACGUGUGUGUAUGUGUAUGUUUUUUUUUUUAAACGAACGCGUGAGAAAUCACCGCGCUUAACCCCGAUCCGAUCUCCGAAAUGUUGGAUUCUUACCGACAAUAUCAAAAUUUUACGCGGUAUACAGCACCGAUUAGUCGUGCCGCUACUCGAUAAAAUAAUUUAUCGAAUAUAUUUCAAUUUCACGCGUAUUAUGCCGCCCCGAAAGAGUAAUUCAAUGGAAAAUAUAAAUAUUCAUUUGCGGGGA